GUCUACGGCCAUGCUACCCUGAACAAGCUUGAUCCUGUCUGAUCUCGGAAGCUAAGCAGGGUUGGGCCUGGUUAGUACUUCUAUGGGAGACCAGAUAGGAAGACCAGGUGCUGUAGGCA
Pteropus vampyrus (large flying fox) is the source of this 119-nucleotide ribosomal RNA. The record is from Ensembl. NCBI's taxonomy places the organism in Eukaryota, Metazoa, Chordata, Mammalia, Chiroptera, Pteropodidae.